GAUGAACGCUGGCGGCGUGCCUAAUACAUGCAAGUCGAGCGAACAGACGAGGAGCUUGCUCCUCUGACGUUAGCGGCGGACGGGUGAGUAACACGUGGAUAACCUACCUAUAAGACUGGGAUAACUUCGGGAAACCGGAGCUAAUACCGGAUAAUAUAUUGAACCGCAUGGUUCAAUAGUGAAAGACGGUUUUGCUGUCACUUAUAGAUGGAUCCGCGCCGCAUUAGCUAGUUGGUAAGGUAACGGCUUACCAAGGCAACGAUGCGUAGCCGACCUGAGAGGGUGAUCGGCCACACUGGAACUGGGACACGGUCCAGACUCCUACGGGAGGCAGCAGUGGGGAAUCUUCCGCAAUGGGCGAAAGCUUGACGGAGCAACGCCGCGUGAGUGAUGAAGGUCUUCGGAUCGUAAAACUCUGUUAUUAGGGAAGAACAAAUGUGUAAGUAACUAUGCACGUCUUGACGGUACCUAAUCAGAAAGCCACGGCUAACUACGUG
Molecule: ribosomal RNA, 497 nt
Filed under: uncultured bacterium
Lineage: Bacteria
Description: partial 16S ribosomal RNA
Rfam family: Bacterial small subunit ribosomal RNA
Source: RNAcentral